This 492-nucleotide ribosomal RNA is filed under the name uncultured bacterium. Its description in RNAcentral is "partial 16S ribosomal RNA". It matches the Rfam family "Bacterial small subunit ribosomal RNA", at positions 29 to 507 of the family's 1533-position model. The record is from RNAcentral.
AGUGAACGCUGGCGGUAGGCCUAACACAUGCAAGUCGAACGGCAGCACAGUAAGAGCUUGCUCUUACGGGUGGCGAGUGGCGGACGGGUGAGGAAUACAUCGGAAUCUACUUUUUCGUGGGGGAUAACGUAGGGAAACUUACGCUAAUACCGCAUACGACCUACGGGUGAAAGCAGGAGAUCUUCGGACCUUGCGUGAUUGAAUGAGCCGAUGUCGGAUUAGCUAGUUGGCGGGGUAAAGGCCCACCAAGGCGACGAUCCGUAGCUGGUCUGAGAGGAUGAUCAGCCACACUGGAACUGAGACACGGUCCAGACUCCUACGGGAGGCAGCAGUGGGGAAUAUUGGACAAUGGGCGCAAGCCUGAUCCAGCCAUACCGCGUGGGUGAAGAAGGCCUUCGGGUUGUAAAGCCCUUUUGUUGGGAAAGAAAAGCAGCAGGUUAAUACCCCGCUGUUCUGACGGUACCCAAAGAAUAAGCACCGGCUAACUUCGUG